This is a small nuclear RNA of Heterocephalus glaber (naked mole-rat), 106 nucleotides long. The record is from Ensembl. Lineage: Eukaryota; Metazoa; Chordata; Mammalia; Rodentia; Bathyergidae.
GUACUCAUUUAGGCAGCACGUGUGCUAAGACUGGAACUGUACAUAGAGAUAGUCAUGGCUCCUGUACAAAGAUGACACACAAAUUCAUGAAUCAUUCCAUAUUUUU